GGGGUUGUGGCUCAGCUGUAGAGUGCUUGCCUAGCACGUAUGAGGCCCUGGGUUCAAUCCUCAGGACCACA
This 71-nucleotide transfer RNA is filed under the name Marmota marmota marmota (Alpine marmot). It matches the Rfam family "tRNA". Rfam says of the family: Transfer RNA (tRNA) molecules are approximately 80 nucleotides in length. Lineage: Eukaryota; Metazoa; Chordata; Mammalia; Rodentia; Sciuridae. The record is from Rfam by way of RNAcentral. RNAcentral also lists the same sequence under 1 other name.